RNAcentral lists this long non-coding RNA (4961 nucleotides) under Fragaria vesca (wild strawberry). RNAcentral describes it as "long non-coding RNA (FVES_LNC005596)". Lineage: Eukaryota; Viridiplantae; Streptophyta; Magnoliopsida; Rosales; Rosaceae. The record is from RNAcentral.
ACUAGCUCCUAAAACCCUAAGCGGCGCGGUUGGUCAUCCAGAAAGAGAAGCCGCCUGCUCCGACGGCACGCCCUCGCGGGCGUUGUCGUCGGACGGGAUACGAGAAGGGCUCAAUCUGAAAGUCAGGUGCGGGAGGUGGUGCCUUUGUUUCUCCGGGCAGAGCGAGGUCGACCACGACGAGCAAGGGUGAGAUUGGAUGUUAGGGACGACAGCGAUCUGUCCUAUGGAGGAGGGGGAGCAGACUAGUGGAUGGUGUGUGGCGGUGCGCCGAGACCAGAAUCAUUUGAGGGUGGUAGUUGGGCGGUGGUUCUAGGAUCGGAAGUCGUUGAAAGAAACAAGUGCACCUUCUAGGUACCUGAAUUUGACAGCCUCGAGUUAGACAGAUACAAAAAUGUGAUGAGUUCACCAUUAAUUCAACAAAUUGGUAAGUCAAAGUGAGAUUUCAUUUGGUUCCAUAAUCAAUGUAUUCAGAAAUCUAAAAACUAGUUUCAGAAUAAAAGCUACUCCAGAUUAAUCUCGAUUCAAGCUACAUAAGCUCAAGGCAGGCCCGGUCCUGGGGCAAGGCGAAGCAGGCUUGGGUCUAGGGCCUCAAAUUUUGGGGGCCUUAAAUAUUAUAUAUAGGCCUGCAGAGUAAAAAAAUAAAGGAGAAAUUACUGGUCACUCCAUUAACUUUCAUGCGCUCGACAGUUUACUCCAUUAACUUUCAAUUUCAAUCGAUUACUCCAUUAACUAUCCAAUGUCACACAAUUAGGUCCAUCCGUUAAGUGGCCGUCCAAAUCAGUGGUUAAGUUGCUGAUUGGACAUAUUUUUCAACUGGAAAUUCUAUUUAACACCCCACCUCUCUCUCUCUCUNNNNNNNNNNNNNNNNNNNNCUCUCUCUCUCUCUCUCUCUCUCUCUCUCUCUCUCUCUCUCUCUCUCUCUCUCUCUCUCUCUCUCUCUCUCUCUCUCUCUCUCUCUCUCUCUCUCUCUGUGGCCAGCCAUGGCUUCUUAAACAGUGUGUAAGCUGUUGUUUUUGGCUUCACUUUCCUCUCACUCAAAUCCAACAAAAGUUUAUGAACCAAAGCCUAUUGUAAAGAUAGGAUUACAAGCUUUAAGUACAUAGCUUAAGUUUUGAAAACAAAGCCCUGGAUAGGAAGUUAUGCUCUCUCAAAGUUGAAGCAAAAAUCUGAAAACCCAGAGAAUUUCAGCUUUUGGCUGAAUCUGCUACUGUUUUUGGCAAGCAAUUUGACAAACCAAAUGUUAACCAAAUCCUCUGAAAUUUAAGACACAUAAAGAUGGAUAUAUGUUCUUUACAAAGGUACUUUCGGAUUUCAAAACAAAGGCCUGAGCUGAAAGAUAUCAAGACGCAAAGUAGGAAAGAAAAUCAGCUUUUCUGCAGAAUUCUGGAAAUUUGCAGCAACUAAUAAACUUGAUUUUGGAAGCUUUAAUUCGACUUUUGAAGUAACAAAACAAGGUCUAAAGCUUCAGAACGUUAAGGAACAGAUUUCCAGAGUACGAAAUCAUUUUAAAUACAACAGACAGUUGAAUCAAAAGGAUCCAAAAUCUACUUUGGACACCCAAACUCAAGAACAUAGUUCUUGAGCUACAACCACAAUGAUUCUAAUUGAAACCUAACAACGAAUAGAGCCACCGGAGGGCAUUGGUCAAAUGGUCACUUUUUGCUCACUGAGCUGAACCCAGACAUGGAAUUCCCAAUCGAUACGAGACCCUUGUUUCGUUUCGUUUCCCGAUCUGAACCCCUCAAGCUCCAGUCUGCUAUGCAAACCUGACCCACAAUCAAAAUUCCAAAUCUUCCGGAUUCUUCCAGCUCAACACACAACAAAACCCAGCAAACUGCUUCGUGUUCUCCUGGAACUGACCCAGAGUUGAUCGAGCUUGAUGAUGAUGACGACCAGAACGAGCUCCCUUCUUCUUCUUCUUUGGUGUUGUCUCAGCAAAGCCCCGAACUUUUACUUUUCUUCUUCUUCGUUCCUAAUCUAGCAUGCAUGAGUACUUCACACGUUAAUCUUUUAUUUCUUUAAUUUGUUUUUGUUUCUUGUUUUUGCAUAUGUAUGCAUUUUCUUUUCCUAGAUUUGCUAGAUUCAAUCAUCAUAGCUAUCGUGUGAUGACAAUAGUUAUUGUCAAUGUACUUCCUCAAGAAAGAGCAAUCGUGUGACAUUUUAUUGUCAUUUGUUCUCCUACCAAAUUAUUUUACAUCAGGUUUACAAAAAGGGUUAUUUGUACUAUAUAGAUGGCAUUGGUCUAGUCCUCUAACUUCUUGUCCCUCUACACUUACCAAAAAAAAAAAAAAAAAAUUACGUAGAGGAGGCAAUAGCUGUCUUUUGCUUACACAGUUGUUACUAGGGCUGGGCACGGGCCCGGCCUGGCCACUAUUUUACAGGGCCCGGGCCCUGACCGGACACACUCCAAUCGGGCCGGGUUUUAUUGUUUCAAAUUCAGGGCCCGGAAAAAGCCCGAACCAGCAAGAACCAGGCCGGUCCUGUUGGGCUUGCGGGCUUAAUAACUUGAAAUGAAAUGCAAUAACGAGAGCGAGACUGACUGACUGAGAGAGUUGACCCUCUCAAUUUAGUUUAAGUCUUUGACCACAAAUCAUGUGUGGUUGAGCUCAUUCUAUUAUUGUAAAUCUUUAGAAACAUCUAAUAAAAUUAUGACAUGUAUAUUAGUCGGGCUCUCGGGCUUUUUUCAUUCCCAUAAACAAGGCCCGGGCCCGGCCUGGACCGCCACUAAACAUAGUCGGGACCGGUGGCUUUUUAUCUCCAACGGGCUUUAUGCCCACCCCUAGUUGUUACCCUCGUUGCUGGCUGGCGUUGGUAAGUGUAGACAGAACAUGGAAAAGACGGAAGGAAUUGACCGAGCCUAAUUAAGCCGCGUGGUCACCGUCCUUUUUACUACGACAGUAAUAACUAGUCCUUUUACUACUGGGUGUGGAUGGUGUUGUCGGCGUCACGUAAAUGCCGGCCAAAUGAUACAAGCUUGACAUAUAUAUAUAUAUAUUUAUAUAUAUACAGGCCCCAUGUGAAGCGGACGUCUAGGACGUCCGCACUAGGCUUAAAGUGCGGACGUCCGUCCGUUCUCCACCCUCCGGCGCCGGCGAUGGCGCGCCUCCACCCCAGAAGACUCCACCAACAUCCCUGACCACUUUCCCUCCCUCGGCGAGUCCAUUCUUUUCCAGUUUUCCGGCGAGAUCACCCAAAACUUCAAACAAAAUCGAUCUCGCCGGAAAACUGGAAAAGAACGGACUCACCAGUGAGGGAAAGUGGUCGGGGAAGCUGCUGGAGUCGGCUGAGGUGGAGGCGCGCCCUCGCGCGGCGCCGUACGGUGGCGAACGGACGAAAAUCCUCACCGUAAAACGGUGCGGACGUCAUAGCAGAGAAGGGCUGUAUAUAUAUAUAUACACUGUAUAUAUAUAUACAGCCCUUCUCGGCUGCGGACGUCCGCACCAACGGUUUUGGUGCGGAUUUCCAUUUUUGCACCACUUUCCGAUCGAAUUUCCUCAUCUCCACCGUCUGGUAUCUAGAUAAUAUUGUAUAGAUUAUCUCUGUAAAAUUUCAACCAUUUGGUGAUCGUUAAGGCCCUCAAACUCGAGUUUUUCUGGUAUGAACACAACCGGACAGAAUUCAGUCCGUCCAUUUGUUUUUCGAGUUUGAGGGCCUUAACGAUCACCAAAUUGGCUGAAAUUUUGCAGAGAUGAUCUACACAAUAUUAUCUAGAUACUAGACGGUGGAGAUGAGGAAAUUCGAUCGAAAAGUGAUGCAAAAAUGGAAAUCCACUUUUUUAGUGCGGACGUCCGCAGCUGAGAAAAUCCGUGUAUAUAUAUAUAUAGACACACACACGUACGUAGAAACAUGUGGUGAAGGUAAGGCUAUAUAUAUUGAUAAAGGGGGUAACCGAGUGCUAUGUAUAUAUGCCUAUCAAUCAUCACGUACGUUCGUCUUUGGUCCAAGAUGCCCUUCUUCUUCUUGUUUUCUUCUUUGGCUUAUGAUCUAAGUUCUAACUAAUAUUAACGUCAUAUUAAUAGCAUGACAAGUCGUGUAUGUGCAAAGGGAGUCAUGGUAGUCUCUAUUACUUUGCAUCCAAAUGUGCUUCAUUGUUAACUAAGCCUCUUGACGCGUACCAAGUGUCAGUGUGUAUUGUUGUAAUCCAACAAAGUGUGUGUUAUUUUCUCUUUUGAAAUUUGAUAGAAAAUAUAUAUAUAUAUAUAGUUUUUAUCCAGAACGAAACUUUACUUUGAAAUUAAAGUGUGAAAUUCCUUAUUUGACUUAUUUUUUUGUCAUAUUUCCACAUUUCUACUGUUCAGUUUGUAGAACCUAAUGCAUAGACACUUCUACCAAGUUUCAUUGAAUUUGAUGAUCGUUUGGGUUUUCAUAAUCGUUAUUUAUACAAACAGUUCUGAAUAGACAGAUUUAUGGUUCGUUCGUCAAUUUAAUCUAAUUCGGUACCUUAACGAUCAUCAAAUUCAAUGAAACUUGGCAUGAGUGAUCUAUGCAUUAGGUUCUACAAACUGAACGGUGGAGAUGUAGAAAUAUUACCAAAAAGUGAGUUAAAUAAGGAACUUCACACUUUAAUUUCAAAAUGAAGCUUCGUCCUAAAUAGAAACUGUAUAUAUAUAUACACACAGGGCCCUUCCAAUGAGGGAUCCAUUUUUUUGUUCAUUUCUAGGGAUAUAUAUAUUGGGGAAAAAAUGAACCAAAGAGAAAAAAUUAAAAGGAUUACAAUGACAAACCAAAGAGAAAUCUAAGUUGAAACUAAGUACCUCCAAGUGCUUUUCCUGUAUGAUCACCUUGACUGAGAGUGGACCAUGCCAUAACAUCUUCACACCAUGCUCCUUGUUUCUGGAAUUAUAAAAAACAAAUAUAUGAGAAUAAACGAAACAAACCAGAUAACCACCAAGACAAGAAUAAGUAUCAACCUGCAACUCUUGUACCUGCAUAAAGAUCACAUAUAAAUCACAUCUCAUCUG